UUGCUCCUCCGGAUCGAGUGGCGGACGGGUGAGUAACACGUAGGCAACCUGCCCAUCAGCCGGGGAUAACUGCGGGAAACCGUGGCUAAUACCGGAUAAUCCCGACUGUCGAUGGACGGUUGGUUGAAAGGCGGCCUUUGGCUGCCGCUGAUGGAUGGGCCUGCGGCGCAUUAGCUAGUUGGUGGGGUAAGGGCCCACCAAGGCGACGAUGCGUAGCCGACCUGAGAGGGUGAUCGGCCACACUGGGACUGAGACACGGCCCAGACUCCUACGGGAGGCAGCAGUAGGGAAUCUUCCGCAAUGGACGCAAGUCUGACGGAGCAACGCCGCGUGAGUGAAGAAGGGUUUCGGCUCGUAAAACUCUGUUGUUAAGGAAGAAUGACAGGCAGAGUAACUGCUGCCUGUGUGACGGUACUUAACCAGAAAGCCACGGCUAACUACGUGCCAGCAGCCGCGGUAAUACGUAGGUGGCAAGCGUUAUCCGGAAUUAUUGGGCGUAAAGCGCGCGUAGGCGGUUUUUUAAGUCUGAUGUGAAAGCCCCCGGCUCAACCGGGGAGGGUCAUUGGAAACUGGGGAACUUGAGUGCAGAAGAGGAGAGUGG
Molecule: ribosomal RNA, 601 nt
Filed under: Salinicoccus halodurans
Lineage: Bacteria; Bacillati; Bacillota; Bacilli; Caryophanales; Staphylococcaceae
Description: bacterial SSU rRNA
Rfam family: Bacterial small subunit ribosomal RNA
Source: RNAcentral